Molecule: ribosomal RNA, 274 nt
Filed under: uncultured bacterium
Lineage: Bacteria
Description: partial 16S ribosomal RNA
Rfam family: Bacterial small subunit ribosomal RNA
Source: RNAcentral
AUACGGAGGGUGCAAGCGUUAUCCGGAAUCAUUGGGUUUAAAGGGUCCGUAGGCGGACUAAUAAGUCAGGGGUGAAAUCCCACAGCUUAACUGUGGAACUGCCUUUGAUACUGUUAGUCUUGAGUUAUAUGGAAGUAGAUAGAAUGUGUAGUGUAGCGGUGAAAUGCUUAGAGAUUACACAGAAUACCGAUUGCGAAGGCAGUCUACUACGUAUAUACUGACGCUAAAAGACGAAAGCGUGGGGAGCGAACAGGAUUAGAUACCCUAGUAGUCC